RNAcentral lists this ribosomal RNA (439 nucleotides) under uncultured alga. Its description in RNAcentral is "bacterial SSU rRNA". It matches the Rfam family "Bacterial small subunit ribosomal RNA", at positions 28 to 480 of the family's 1533-position model. The record is from RNAcentral.
GAUGAACGCUGGCGGUAUGCCUUACACAUGCAAGUCGAACGGAAAUUAGCUUCGGUUAAUUUUAGUGGCGGACGGGUGAGUAACACGUGAGAAUUCGCCUUUAGGAGGGGAUAACGGAUGGAAACAUUCGCUAAAACCCCAUAUGCCCCUGGGUGAAACAGAGGAGAUAAGUAAUACUGACUCACCUCUGCCUGAAGAGAAGCUCGCGGCUGAUUAGCUAGUUGGUAGGGUAAAGGCCUACCAAGGCGACGAUCAGUAGCUGGUCUGAGAGGACGAUCAGCCACACUGGAACUGAGACACGGUCCAGACUCCUACGGGAGGCAGCAGUGAGGAAUUUUCUGCAAUGGGCGAAAGCCUGACAGAGCAAUACCGCGUGAGGGAUGAAGACUUACUGAGUUGUAAACCUCGGUACCUUAAGGAAGAAGAUCUGACGGUACUU